RNAcentral lists this ribosomal RNA (1433 nucleotides) under uncultured organism. Its description in RNAcentral is "16S ribosomal RNA". It matches the Rfam family "Bacterial small subunit ribosomal RNA". The record is from RNAcentral.
GCGGCGUGCUUAACACAUGCAAGUCGAACGGAAAGGCCCUGCUUUUGUGGGGUGCUCGAGUGGCGAACGGGUGAGUAACACGUGAGUAACCUGCCCUUGACUUUGGGAUAACUUCAGGAAACUGGGGCUAAUACCGGAUAGGAGCUCCUGCUGCAUGGUGGGGGUUGGAAAGUUUCGGCGGUUGGGGAUGGACUCGCGGCUUAUCAGCUUGUUGGUGGGGUAGUGGCUUACCAAGGCUUUGAUGGGUAGCCGGCCUGAGAGGGUGACCGGCCACAUUGGGACUGAGAUACGGCCCAGACUCCUACGGGAGGCAGCAGUGGGGAAUAUUGCACAAUGGGCGGAAGCCUGAUGCAGCAACGCCGCGUGCGGGAUGACGGCCUUCGGGUUGUAAACCGCUUUCGCCUGUGACGAAGCGUGAGUGACGGUAAUGGGUAAAGAAGCACCGGCUAACUACGUGCCAGCAGCCGCGGUGAUACGUAGGGUGCGAGCGUUGUCCGGAUUUAUUGGGCGUAAAGGGCUCGUAGGUGGUUGAUCGCGUCGGAAGUGUAAUCUUGGGGCUUAACCCUGAGCGUGCUUUCGAUACGGGUUGACUUGAGGAAGGUAGGGGAGAAUGGAAUUCCUGGUGGAGCGGUGGAAUGCGCAGAUAUCAGGAGGAACACCAGUGGCGAAGGCGGUUCUCUGGGCCUUUCCUGACGCUGAGGAGCGAAAGCGUGGGGAGCGAACAGGCUUAGAUACCCUGGUAGUCCACGCUGUAAACGGUGGGUACUAGGUGUGGGGUCCAUUCCACGGGUUCCGUGCCGUAGCUAACGCUUUAAGUACCCCGCCUGGGGAGUACGGCCGCAAGGCUAAAACUCAAAGGAAUUGACGGGGCCCCGCACAAGCGGCGGAGCAUGCGGAUUAAUUCGAUGCAACGCGUAGAACCUUACCUGGGUUUGACAUGGAUCGGGAGUGCUCAGAGAUGGGUGUGCCUCUUUUGGGGUCGGUUCACAGGUGGUGCAUGGCUGUCGUCAGCUCGUGUCGUGAGAUGUUGGGUUAAGUCCCGCAACGAGCGCAACCCUUGUUCACUGUUGCCAGCACGUUAUGGUGGGGACUCAGUGGAGACCGCCGGGGUCAACUCGGAGGAAGGUGGGGAUGACGUCAAGUCAUCAUGCCCCUUAUGUCCAGGGCUUCACGCAUGCUACAAUGGCUGGUACAGAGAGUGGCGAGCCUGUGAGGGUGAGCGAAUCUCGGAAAGCCGGUCUCAGUUCGGAUUGGGGUCUGCAACUCGACCUCAUGAAGUCGGAGUCGCUAGUAAUCGCAGAUCAGCAACGCUGCGGUGAAUACGUUCCCGGGGCUUGUACACACCGCCCGUCAAGUCAUGAAAGUUGGUAACACCCGAAGCCGGUGGCCUAACCGUUGUGGGGGAGCCGUCGAAGGUGGGACUGGUGAUUAGG